RNAcentral lists this ribosomal RNA (253 nucleotides) under uncultured bacterium. RNAcentral's name for it is "partial 16S ribosomal RNA". It matches the Rfam family "Bacterial small subunit ribosomal RNA", at positions 524 to 776 of the family's 1533-position model. The record is from RNAcentral.
UACGUAGGGGGCAAGCGUUGUCCGGAUUUAUUGGGCGUAAAGAGCGUGUAGGCGGCCUGAAAGGUCAGCUGUGAAAACUCGAGGCUCAACCUCGAGACGUCGGUUGAAACCAUCUGGCUAGAGUCCGGAAGAGGAGAGUGGAAUUCCCGGUGUAGCGGUGAAAUGCGUAGAUAUCCGGAGGAACACCAGUGGCGAAGGCGACUUUCUGGCCUGUUCUUGACGCUGAGGCGCGAAAGCUAGGGGAGCAAACGGG